UAAGGAAUAUUGGUCAAUGGACGCAAGUCUGAACCAGCCAUGCCGCGUGGAGGAUGAAGGUCCUCUGGAUUGUAAACUUCUUUUAUCUGGGACGAAACACUUCUUUUCUAAGAGGCCUGACGGUACCAGAUGAAUAAGCACCGGCUAACUCCGUGCCAGCAGCCGCGGUAAUACGGAGGGUGCAAGCGUUAUCCGGAUUCACUGGGUUUAACGGGUGCGUAGGUGGGUAUGUAAGUCAGUGGUGAAAUCCCCGAGCUUAACUUGGGAACUGCCAUUGNUACUAUAUAUCUUGAAUACCGUAGAGGUAAGCGGAAUAUGUCAUGUAGCGGUGAAAUGCUUAGAUAUGACAUGGAACACCAAUUGCGAAGGCAGCUUACUAUGCGGUGAUUGACACUGAGGCACGAAAGCGUGGGUAGCAAACA
RNAcentral lists this ribosomal RNA (422 nucleotides) under uncultured bacterium. RNAcentral's name for it is "bacterial SSU rRNA". It matches the Rfam family "Bacterial small subunit ribosomal RNA", at positions 355 to 774 of the family's 1533-position model. The record is from RNAcentral.